GACCGCACUGGUGGCCUAGUGCUUAGAGCAUCUGCCUCGAAAACAGGAGGUUGCAGGUUUGAACCCUGUUUGAGUCA
This is a non-coding RNA of Potamilus streckersoni, 77 nucleotides long. Lineage: Eukaryota; Metazoa; Mollusca; Bivalvia; Unionida; Unionidae. The record is from the annotation of a GenBank genome assembly.